This is a long non-coding RNA of Dipodomys spectabilis (banner-tailed kangaroo rat), 331 nucleotides long. RefSeq lists it as uncharacterized. NCBI's taxonomy places the organism in Eukaryota, Metazoa, Chordata, Mammalia, Rodentia, Heteromyidae. The transcript is spliced from 3 exons. The record is from RefSeq and is a predicted model, not a curated record.
GAACACUUAAUUUCGGUGCAGAGAGGUGAAGGUGUUUUAUCCACUGCAAGGACGCGUUCUUCGCAUCAGUGAAAGGCCUUACUUUAAAGAUGAGGAAACUGAGGCACAGAGAAAUUAAAUCACUUGCCUGCUGGCUUGCACCUGGAAAUAUCUUCUCUUUGAACAUUGUGGAUCUUAAAAAGAGUAUCUACUGUGCAUUCUUUACUUGAUUUUUUACUUUUGCAGUGCUGGAAAUGGAACCUAGUGCCUCGCAUAUGGAUCUUGUGAACCUUUAAAAACUUAGUAAAAUAAAGUCUCACAGAGCAAUGUGGCUUUCUCUUUCCUCCCCAAA